AUACGUAGGGGGCAAGCGUUACCCGGAUUUACUGGGCGUAAAGGGGGCGUAGGCGGCCUGGUGUGUCGGAUGUGAAAUCCCACGGCUCAACCGUGGGGCUGCAUCCGAAACUACCAGGCUUGGGGGCGGUAGAGGGAGACGGAACUGCCGGUGUAGGGGUGAAAUCCGUAGAUAUCGGCAGGAACGCCGGUGGGGAAGCCGGUCUCCUGGGCCGACCCCGACGCUGAGGCCCGAAAGCCAGGGGAGCAAACCGGAUUAGAUACCCGGGUAGUCCUGGCUGUAAACGAUGCCCACUAGGUGUGGGGGGAUAAUCCCUCCGUGCUGAAGCUAACGCGUUAAGUGGGCCGCCUGGGGAGUACGCCCGCAAGGGUGAA
Molecule: ribosomal RNA, 374 nt
Filed under: uncultured bacterium
Lineage: Bacteria
Description: bacterial SSU rRNA
Rfam family: Bacterial small subunit ribosomal RNA
Source: RNAcentral